This 544-nucleotide ribosomal RNA is filed under the name Arnoglossus imperialis (imperial scaldfish). RNAcentral describes it as "partial 16S large subunit ribosomal RNA". It matches the Rfam family "Bacterial large subunit ribosomal RNA", at positions 1939 to 2605 of the family's 2925-position model. The record is from RNAcentral. Lineage: Eukaryota; Metazoa; Chordata; Actinopteri; Pleuronectiformes; Bothidae.
AUUUUAACCGUGCUAAGGUAGCGCAAUCACUUGUCUUUUAAAUGAAGACCUGUAUGAAAGGUAUAACGAGGGCUUAACUGUCUCCUUUUUCCAGUCAAUGAAAUUGAUCUCCCCGUGCAGAAGCGGGGAUUUUUACAUAAGACGAGAAGACCCUGUGGAGCUUUAGACCCCGGGAUAGUUCAUGUUAAAAGACCACGCCCAAGGAAACAACUAAAUGAACCCUAUCCCUGUGUCUUCGGUUGGGGUGACCAUGGGGUAAACAUAACCCCCAUGUAGACAGGGAGCACUAGAAGGACACCACCACGGACCAACGACCCUCCUCCUCAAAAUCAGAGCCCCCGCUCUAGUUAACGAAAGCUUCGACUUAAAAUGAUCCGGGUUAAACCGAUCAACGAACCAAGUUACCCCAGGGAUAACAGCGCCAUCCCCUUCAAAAGCCCAUAUCACCAAGGGGGUUUACGACCUCGAUGUUGGAUCAGGACAUCCUAAUGGUGCAGCCGCUAUUAAGGGUUCGUUUGUUCAACGAUUAAAGUCCUACGUGAUC